GAUGAAGAACGUAGCGAAAUGCGAUAAGUAAUGCGAAUUGCAGAAUUCCAGUGAGUCAUCGAAUCUUUGAACGCACAUUGCGCCCUUUGGUAUUCCGAAGGGCAUGCCUGUUCGAGCGUCAUUAUCACCCCCCUCGAACCCCCCUUCUCGGGUUCGGUGUUGGAUGGUCGGCGGCGGGACCUUAUGUUCCACCACCCCUCCCAAAGGCAAUGACGGCGGCUGCGUUGACCCUCCGGUACACUGAGUUCUUCACCGAACACGUACUGGAUCAGGGCGCGCGGCGACGGUCUCCAUCCUAUAUAUUUUGAAAAGGUUGACCUCGGAUCAGGUAGGGAUACCCGCUGAACUUAAGCAUAUCAAUAAGCGGAGGA
Molecule: unclassified non-coding RNA, 371 nt
Filed under: soil metagenome
Description: partial contains 5.8S ribosomal RNA, internal transcribed spacer 2, and large subunit ribosomal RNA
Rfam family: 5.8S ribosomal RNA (bases 1-121)
Source: RNAcentral